AGCAGUCGCCACGGGAAUACGUAGGUGGCAAGCGUUGUCCGGAAUUAUUGGGCGUAAAGCGCGCGCAGGCGGAUUGGUCAGUCUGUCUUAAAAGUUCGGGGCUUAACCCCGUGAUGGGAUGGAAACUGCCAAUCUAGAGUAUCGGAGAGGAAAGUGGAAUUCCUAGUGUAGCGGUGAAAUGCGUAGAUAUUAGGAAGAACACCAGUGGCGAAGGCGACUUUCUGGACGAAAACUGACGCUGAGGCGCGAAAGCCAGGGGAGCGAACGGGAUUAGAGACCCCGGUAGUCCCUGUCUCUUAUACA
This 303-nucleotide ribosomal RNA is filed under the name uncultured bacterium. RNAcentral describes it as "partial 16S ribosomal RNA". It matches the Rfam family "Bacterial small subunit ribosomal RNA", at positions 507 to 809 of the family's 1533-position model. The record is from RNAcentral.